CAGGCCCUGAAUGAAGGCCAGCGGUUUGCCGUAGCCGUUGGUUUCAAGCAGGAGCCCAGAGGAAAGAUUUCUCCCGGUCUGUUGGUGUUCCCCUCUCAAAAUGGAACGGCCAAUUCGUUUGGGAGCRACAAGG
Molecule: small nucleolar RNA, 133 nt
Organism: Apteryx haastii (Great spotted kiwi)
Lineage: Eukaryota; Metazoa; Chordata; Aves; Apterygiformes; Apterygidae
Source: Ensembl